GGCUACUACAUCCAAGGAAGGCAGCAGGCGCGCAAAUUACCCAAUCCCGACACGGGGAGGUAGUGACAAUAAAUACUGAUACAGGGCUCUUUUGGGUCUUGUAAUUGGAAUGAGUACAAUUUAAAUCCCUUAACGAGGAACAAUUGGAGGGCAAGUCUGGUGCCAGCAGCCGCGGUAAUUCCAGCUCCAAUAGCGUAUAUUAAAGUUGUUGCAGUUAAAAAGCUCGUAGUUGAACCUUGGGCCCAGCCGGCCGGUCCGCCUCACCGCGUGCACUGGAUAGGUUGGGCCUUUCCUUCUGGAGAACCGCAUGCCCUUCACUGGGUGUGUCGGGGAACCAGGACUUUUACUCUGAACAAAUUAGAUCGCUUAAAGAAGGCCUAUGCUCGAAUACAUUAGCAUGGAAUAAUAGAAUAGGACGUGUGGUUCUAUUUUGUUGGUUUCUAGGACCGCCGUAAUGAUUAAUAGGGACAGUCGGGGGCAUCAGU
RNAcentral lists this ribosomal RNA (485 nucleotides) under Sordaria fimicola. RNAcentral's name for it is "SSU rRNA". It matches the Rfam family "Eukaryotic small subunit ribosomal RNA", at positions 405 to 895 of the family's 1831-position model. Lineage: Eukaryota; Fungi; Ascomycota; Sordariomycetes; Sordariales; Sordariaceae. The record is from RNAcentral.